Unclassified non-coding RNA from Fukomys damarensis (Damara mole-rat), 347 nucleotides. Its record names the gene 7SK. It matches the Rfam family "7SK RNA". Rfam says of the family: 7SK was discovered as an abundant small nuclear RNA in the mid-70s but a possible function has only recently been suggested. Two independent studies have found that 7SK RNA binds the CDK9/cyclin T complex (known as elongation factor P-TEFb). NCBI's taxonomy places the organism in Eukaryota, Metazoa, Chordata, Mammalia, Rodentia, Bathyergidae. The record is from Ensembl.
GGAUGUGAGGGCGAUCUGGCUGUGACAUCUGUCAUCCCAUUGAUCGCCAGGGUUGAUUAGGCUGAUCUGGCUGGCUAGGCAGGUGUCCCCUUCCUUCCUCACCACCCAUGUGCAUCCCUUCCAAAGCUGUGCAUCUGCUUGGCCCACCCCAUAGAGGAGGACUGUUUCCUCUGACAAGGGUAUGCAAGUCUAUUCCCCUGCUAGAACCUCCAAACAAGCUCUCAAGAUCCUGAGCACUUAUUCAGUUCACUGUCUUAAAAUUGGUGUGCAGAAUGUGUAAACAAGGUUAAAUAAAUCUGACUAUUAUAACUACACAGUUUUAGCUGCAUAUGGUGGCACACACUUGU